Long non-coding RNA from Passer domesticus (house sparrow), 746 nucleotides. RefSeq lists it as uncharacterized. The transcript is spliced from 3 exons. NCBI's taxonomy places the organism in Eukaryota, Metazoa, Chordata, Aves, Passeriformes, Passeridae. The record is from RefSeq and is a predicted model, not a curated record.
GCCCGCCCCCGCCGGAGGGUCCCUGGCCCAGAGGGCACCAGCUGUUCUUGGGUGUUAAUAAAACAAGAAAGCGUAUUCUCUAAGGCAGGCAGUAUUGUGCUCAAGCUACCCUGGGCGGGGUUUUUUUGUCCUAAACCUGUGGUGAGAUCCUGGUUCAGAAUAGUAAGAAUCAGCUGAACUGCAGUUCAGUGUCAUCUCAACCACAGUUAUUUGUUUAUACUACAAAAGCAUAGCACUCAAAGGCUCUGAUGUGCCUCCCAGGCAGGAACCAGGACAGUCUCAGAAAACUCCAGUUAUCCGCAGCCCACCCUUUUGCCAGCGCUGAUCCGCCUGCCGCCAGGAGGAAGUGCCCUGCAGUGUUUGCAGGGAGUCACGGAGUGCAACUGCUCAGCGGGAAAACAGGACCGGGAGACUUCAAUCUUGAUGUUACAGUGCAACCUACCGACGGACAGGUGGAAUUUGGAGUGCAGCUCCUGAACGGAAAAUACAAGCAGCCACCCGAGGGCCCCUUCCCCGCCACGGAGCGGCGCCGGCAGCGGAGCGGGGUCCCGUGAAGGAGACGGAGCCGAGCUGGGAGCCCGCCGGGCGGGACGGCACAGGACAGCUCUGUCCCUCUCACCUUCUCACCGAGAAGCGGCGCUACACGCUCCCGUUCCCGCUCCCGAUCCCGCUCCCGUUCCCGUUCCCAUUCCCCUUCCUGCCCCCGUUCCCUGCAGGUGUCCGCCAGAGGGGGCCCGGCCCCCGCG